UACGAAGGGGGCUAGCGUUGUUCGGAAUUACUGGGCGUAAAGCGUGCGCAGGCGGCUGCUCAAGUCAGGGGUGAAAGCCCAGAGCUCAACUCUGGAAUUGCCUUUGAGACUGAGUGGCUUGAGUACGGGAGAGGUGAGUGGAAUUCCCAGUGUAGAGGUGAAAUUCGUAGAUAUUCGGAAGAACACCAGUGGCGAAGGCGACUUACUGGACACAUAUUGACGCUGAGGUGCGAAAGCGUGGGGAGCAAACAGGG
Molecule: ribosomal RNA, 254 nt
Filed under: uncultured bacterium
Lineage: Bacteria
Description: partial 16S ribosomal RNA
Rfam family: Bacterial small subunit ribosomal RNA
Source: RNAcentral